ACGACGUUAUGAUGACAAGUUCGCCAUGUCACAACGUGGAAACCCCAAUGUCUCAACGACAGUUAAAAAUUUUUUAUGAACUAUAUGUAAGACCCAAUUUCUGCCCCGGCCCAAAUAUUAAAACAAGAUAAAUAACAGUCCAAUUACAAAGGAAAAAUAACAGGCCCAAUGUAGCCCACAGCCCAAAACUAAAAAUUUUCAGCAAACCCUGGUUUGCUUCCCCAAGCUAGCCGCCGCAAGCUUCAAUGCUUGGCCUGCACUCUGCCACACAUCCAACGCACGCCUCUGCCACUGCGUCUGACACCUCGGCCGCCUCUACCACUGCUACCUGCAAGGAAAGGUGAACACGCAACAACUAAGAAGCUAAUAAGCACAAGCAGACAACAAAAACAAACAAAAAUAGUAGAAUAGAGAGUUGUUCAAAUCGGCUAUAAAAGCCUAGAUCAAAUCCUUUUUUUUUACGCACAUAAGUCAAUCCAAACUCAGAAACCGAAUUCCAAAGGUUGAUUUUAGACUAUUUCUCUCCGUUUCUCUUUUGAUAUUUUUUCUAUUUACUUGUUUUUUUUCUUUCAAAUCCAUUUUAAAAAAUUAACAAAGAAGAUAAAAAAAAAGGAAAAGGGAAUCAACUCACCUGAAUCGGC
RNAcentral lists this long non-coding RNA (641 nucleotides) under Gossypium barbadense (sea-island cotton). RNAcentral describes it as "long non-coding RNA (GBAR_LNC022668)". The record is from RNAcentral. Lineage: Eukaryota; Viridiplantae; Streptophyta; Magnoliopsida; Malvales; Malvaceae.